This 1519-nucleotide long non-coding RNA is filed under the name Ursus maritimus (polar bear). RNAcentral's name for it is "lncRNA (ENSUMAG00000015548.1)". The record is from RNAcentral. Lineage: Eukaryota; Metazoa; Chordata; Mammalia; Carnivora; Ursidae.
GCUGGGAAGACUAUUUAUUUAUUGAACGCGUCAUUGUUGAACAUAUCCUAUGUGUUAUGCUCACGGAGGAUAUGGCAGUGAGUGAGUAAAGCCCGUGCGUUAAAUCCAGCACGAAGAUGUGUUCAGGGUGGUCUUCGCGGGGCUUUUACGAUUGUCGACAUUUAAAACUUAGGAGACACCAUGUAAAAUUCUGGUUUCCCAGCUUCUCUUGAAAAGUGGCAAUGUCUGAUGUCGACUGGCCAGAUUUCUGCAAAACAGCAAACUGGCUGGCGGGUGGUUUGCUGUCAUCUCCACCUACUCCCUAUUGUUCCCCAACACCAAGGACGACUGUCACUUACAACCGUGUCUAAAAAGGGCAGCAUAACCUCCUGGUUUCAAGGAAGCCCAGAGAUCAAAGCAAAGGAAAAAACUUCAGGAUCUGGUUUUGAAGAUACGUCAUUCGGAUGCCGACUCAGAACUGCCAAGAUAGAGCACGAGGCACCUUCGACUGGUCGGGAGUCCCUCGAGAGAUGUCCCUGAUCUGUUAUUACUGGAAUUUGCAACUCCUGUAAAAAGCUGCCGAGGGCAUGACUCACCGAGCUGAUGUCCAAACCACUGCCUCCACAGCUCACCAUCCUGUCCCCGCGUCUCCUCCCUCUUUCUGCAGCUGCAACCCGAGAGGCAUUUGCUCCCUCCAGGGAGGCCCCCCCGCCCCCGCCGGGGUCCUGGCCGGGCCAGCUGCCUCUGCACAUUGCAGGUAGCCAGAAUUUCCUGCAUUCUGGGGAGAAAGAAGUAUGCCUGGAAGAGACCAGACAGUGGAAGCCUCCUCGUGGUAGGGCACUUUCCUAGAGGGAGAACCACCGAGCAGCACCUGGAAAUCGCCUGGAUCACUGUUACAAGCUCUGACACAGUAAAUGCAUUCAGGACAGCUCCAGGGCGCGAACGUCUUUUUUGCAUUUCUCAUUAAUUACUUUGGUUCUCAUGCAUCUGGGAAUUUGCAACAGCCUGAACCAGAUGCAUUAGGGUUUAGUCUAGCUUUUUUUUUUUUUUUUGCUUUUUUGCUUUUUGCAAGCUUCCUUUUUACUGUAUUUUUGUCUGCAUUUUCCCCAUGCUUAUACCUGUCUAAGAGGUAAUUUAUCAGCCUUGCCCGGUUCUAUCUAGCUGAUCCAGCAGUGGCGUGAGAGGGCGGUCAGGUCACGAUGUGAUUGUUAUAAACUCAGCUCACUGGUUGACACAUACACCCUACCUAGAAUUGAAAGGCUGUGUACUCACUCAGAGUUCCUCUGAGUCUUCAGCUGGCAAAGUCUUCAUGAUUUCUCUCAACCUGAGACGCACCAUUCAGAACCCCCCCCCCCCCCCCCCAGCCACUUUACAAACUCUCAUUUCACUUGGUGGAAGAAAACAAGGAGCUUUAGAUUCAGAUCUAGGUUUGAAUCCCAGCGCCAUCCAUCACUGGCUGGGUGGUCCUAGACAUGGGUUAUUCUCUGAGCCUCAGUUGGCCGUCUGUUAAAAUGGGCUUACUACCUACCUCACGAUAUCA